RNAcentral lists this ribosomal RNA (393 nucleotides) under uncultured bacterium. RNAcentral's name for it is "partial 16S ribosomal RNA". It matches the Rfam family "Bacterial small subunit ribosomal RNA", at positions 523 to 918 of the family's 1533-position model. The record is from RNAcentral.
AUACGGAGGAUCCGAGCGUUAUCCGGAUUUAUUGGGUUUAAAGGGAGCGUAGGUGGACAGUUAAGUCAGUUGUGAAAGUUUGCGGCUCAACCGUAAAAUUGCAGUUGAUACUGGCUGUCUUGAGUACAGUAGAGGUGGGAGGAAUUCGUGGUGUAGCGGUGAAAUGCUUAGAUAUCACGAAGAACUCCGAUUGCGAAGGCAGCUCACUGGACUGCAACUGACACUGAUGCUCGAAAGUGUGGGUAUCAAACAGGAUUAGAUACCCUGGUAGUCCACACAGUAAACGAUGAAUACUCGCUGUUUGCGAUAUACAGUAAGCGGCCAAGCGAAAGCAUUAAGUAUUCCACCUGGGGAGUACGCCGGCAACGGUGAAACUCAAAUGAAUUGGCGGGG